RNAcentral lists this ribosomal RNA (119 nucleotides) under Salmo salar (Atlantic salmon). The record is from RNAcentral. Lineage: Eukaryota; Metazoa; Chordata; Actinopteri; Salmoniformes; Salmonidae.
GCUUACGGCCAUACCAGCCUGGGUACGCCCGAUCUCGUCUGAUCUCGGAAGCUAAGCAGGGUCUGGCCUGGUUAGUACUUGGAUGGGAGACCGCCUGGGAAUACCAGGUGCUGUAAGCA